RNAcentral lists this long non-coding RNA (450 nucleotides) under Neogobius melanostomus (round goby). RNAcentral describes it as "lncRNA (ENSNMLG00000007325.1)". The record is from RNAcentral. Lineage: Eukaryota; Metazoa; Chordata; Actinopteri; Gobiiformes; Gobiidae.
AGAAAACUAUGUCUAACAAUAAUACACCGAAGAACCCCAAACACCGAGAGAAAGUUCCUGUGCGGACGACUAACGACAGCCAGUUAUCUCGGGAUCUCAGGAGGCUUCUCUCUCUGCUUGAAAGGAACACUCACCGACAAGAGGAGGAGUCGUUCAGCCCUGGGAAACCGCGCAGUGCCACGGCAAAACGAUCACAGGGACCACAUCCCAAUCACUCCAGCACGUGCAAGCCCGAGCUCGCCGUCAACUUGGCGCUGCAGAAGUUCAGUGAGGAGUUUGAAAACCACAGAUGCUUCAGCAGCCACCCCCAGCACAGACUGUUCAAGAGUCUCCUGAUUUCUCUGGUGAAAAAUCGUUUGUGCAGUGAAUGGCUUGACACAGCUGCACCAGAGUCUGUCCUCAAAGUUCUGACCUGCCUCCGAAUACUGGUCCGAGACACCGAGCUUCAGG